Molecule: ribosomal RNA, 460 nt
Filed under: uncultured bacterium
Lineage: Bacteria
Description: partial 16S ribosomal RNA
Rfam family: Bacterial small subunit ribosomal RNA
Source: RNAcentral
CCUACGGGGGGCUGCAGUGAGGAAUAUUGGUCAAUGGACGAGAGACUGAACCAGCCAAGCAGCGUGAAGGAUGACUGUACUAUGGGUUGUAAACCUCUUUUAUCAAGGAAUAAAACGAGGCACGUGUGCCUUUUUGCAUGUACUUUAUGAAUAAGGAUCGGCUAACUCCGUGCCAGCAGCCGCGGUAAUACGGAGGAUCCGAGCGUUAUCCGGAUUUAUUGGGUUUAAAGGGAGCGUAGAUGGGAUGUUAAGUUAGUUGUGAAAGUUUGCGGCUCAACCGUAAAAUUGCAAGGGGUACUGGCAGUCUUGAGUGCAGUUGAGGUAGGCGGAAUUCGUGGUGUAGCGGUGAAAUGCUUAGAUAUCACGAAGAACCCCGAUUGCGAAGGCAGCAUACGAAACUGUGACUGACGUUGAUGCUCGAAGGUGUGGGUAUCGAACAGGAUUAGAUACCCGUGUAGUC